AAGUAGAAAUAUAUGUUUGGAGAGAAAAAAACUUGAUAGUUGUAUAAAUAUAUUUCAUGAUAUUUGUUUUUUUUAUUUUUUAUUUAUACUACCAUUCAGAAGUUGAAAGAAGUCUCUUAUGCUUGCCAAUGCUGCAUUAAUGAGAUUAAAAAUAUGGUAAAAACAGUACUGUUGUGAAAUAUUAUUACACUUUUCUAUUUUUAUAUAUUUAAAAAUAUAAAUUAUUCCUGUUAAAAUCAUUUGAAUAUGCUGAUUUGGAGCUCAGGACACACUUGGACACACCAAUUUAUACUUCUGCGUCGGGUGCGCGUAGUAGGUACGGCGUAGCAUACGCAUUGACGUGUACCAUACGUCGUACCCUUCGCCGUACCCUGACGCGCACCUCCUCAAAAAUGUAACUACGCGUCGCGACGACGCGGACUGCAAGAUCUGUGAUUGGUCGGCUUGGUAGUAUCACGUUUCCUCCUACGCAUUUCUGGAAUGAUCUUCUGCACUCUGGACUGCCCGCCAUUUUUAAAUUCCGAAAUUCAGUGAAGAGCCAACAUGGAAAUGGACCAAGUGACCGAGCGAUUAAUUAAAGAAGUGAGGAAAUACAGCCAGCAUGAUCCGCUCUCUUUCAGUCGCCAUUGUUCGUAGAAGCCCGCGAGGAUCGAGGAAUGUAAACACAGUGGAACCCGCUCGCGUCAACUAGCGUUUCGGCGGUGAAACUGCAGAGCAAAACAGACAUACGCAGAAGUAUAAAUUCUUAUGACGGCGUCGCCUAUGUGCGUAGCCUACGACGUACACUACGCCGUACACUCGACGCAGAAGUAUAAAUUGGCCUUAUUAUCAGUGUUAAAAACAGUUACAGGUCAGCUGAAUUCAUAUGCAACUCAUGAAGUCAACCAGCGCCAAUUCUUCAAUUCAGAAUUUGGAACAACCCUGGUAAGAAGCAUAAGGGAAAAAAAAAAAAAACACUGGACUCGAAAGGGCAGAGUCCAUUUUCAAGAUUUCCUCCAAGUUGUGCAGACAUCACUACUGCAGUACAAAAAUGGCUCAUGAGUCUUCAGUGCAUGUGUGACUUUGAAAGAAUGUGCUUCACCCUGCAGCAAAACCAUAAAAAUAUGAUGUUAGUAAUGUAUGUUUAAGGUUGUAUUAAAAAAAAAAAAAAAACACUCCUUUUUAACUUGGUUUUAAAUAUGCAUAUGUUAAUUUUGUAUUAUCUACAGGCCAAUGUGUACAUUAAACACAGUAAGUGUGCGUGCUUGUAUGUGUGUGUGUUUCUUUUUUUCACAAUAGUGCAUAACCAGGGUCAAGUGAAAUUGCUCAGAUGUUUCUCCUUCGUAGCUCCAAAGAUAUAUCAGAUUUGUCACAGACGUUUCAUCAAGAAAUUAGAAAUACUAAAGAUACUAAAUGAAAUUGUUAAUUUACAACAAAAGGAGAGACACAUUUCAGUGUCAUAGUUCAGAUGGAUUUGAUGAAUAUAUUUGACUUCAAU
This is a long non-coding RNA of Cyprinus carpio (common carp), 1477 nucleotides long. NCBI's taxonomy places the organism in Eukaryota, Metazoa, Chordata, Actinopteri, Cypriniformes, Cyprinidae. The record is from Ensembl.